Molecule: long non-coding RNA, 10749 nt
Filed under: Canis lupus familiaris (dog)
Lineage: Eukaryota; Metazoa; Chordata; Mammalia; Carnivora; Canidae
Description: lncRNA (ENSCAFG00000053021.1)
Source: RNAcentral
GAGAAGCAGGCUCCAUGCACCGGGUGCCCGACGUGGGAUUCGAUCCCGAGUCUCCAGGAUCGUGCCCUGGGCCAAAGGCAGGCGCCAAACCGCUGCGCCACCCAGGGAUCCCAAUUUUGAUUUUUUAGGCUCCUUUAAAGCCAGGUAUGGUCAGCUGUAGACAUGGUGUUUGCUAGUGAGAUGUAAAUGGAAGUCUACUUCACAGUUUCGAGAAUAGCUAUUGUUUUGCUAUUAAGAGGGGAAACUCAAGUUGGCACACACUUUGCCCUCCUCCUUCUCUUCUUCUGGUCUAUUACUAGAACAUGAUGGCUUGUGUUACAGAAGCCAUCUUGGUACCAUGAGGUCAAAAGCCACAUGCUAAGCAAGGUGUCGCAGGAAGCAAGCAAGAUCUUUCCCUGAUGGUCUCAUGAAGCCACAAUACCAACCUUGAAAUGCUUAUUCUUAGACUUUUUAUUUCAUAAGAUCAGUAAAUUCCUUAUUUAGUUAACCUAGGUUGAGAUCCUGCUACAUAUUAUCAAAUGUAACCUAACUCUUUCAAAGUCUAUACUUCAGUUUCUCCCUUUGAAUAGGCCUCCCCUGACCUAUGCCUUCAGUAGCUGCCUUCUUACCUCACUACUUUGACUAUAACCCCAGAUUAUUCACUCUCUCAUGCCAAAAGAAGCACAGGCCUGAGAGCAGGUGUCAUCAUGCUCCUCCUUUUUAAAAAAAUCUAUUUUAACCAUUACUUUUCCACUCUUAAACUUCUUUAAGGUUUACACCAUUGAUUUCAUCGUUCAGUUCUGUUAUCAUUAUCUGAUGUCCUGAAAGAAAUUCCCCUCAAUCUUAGUGUCUGUAAAGAACUCUAUAAACAUCCUAAACAAUCUCAAUAUUGAUAUGCAACGUCAUAAUCAUGAAGUUUCUUGACUUUCUUAACCACUCCAGCAGCCCAUACCCAAAGCCUCAUUCUGUAACAUGUUAUCUUUUUGAGCUCCUCUCUGUGUUUUUUAAAAGAUUUUAUUUAUUUAUUUGAGAGACAGAGAAAGAGAGUGUGCAUUAGCAGGGGGAAGGGCAGUGGGAAAAGGAGAAGCAGAUUUUCUGCUGAGCAGAAAGCCCUGCACGGAGCUCAAUCCCAGGACCUCGAGAUCACAGCCUGAAAUGAAGGCAGAUGCCCAACCAACUGAGUCAAUCAGGCGUCCUUCUGUGUUGUUUUUUUUUUUUUUUAUAAAGAUAUCAGUGUGUAUGUAAUUUUUUUAAAAGACAGCUUCUGUCUCUUAAUUAGCAAAUUCAUCCAUUUACAAUGUUCAUGGCUAUAAGUUUGGACAAAUAUUAUCUUAUUUUGUAGUUAUUCUGUACCAUGUUUUCCUGUUGCUUCAUUUUAUCCCCAUUUUGCUUUUUGUUAGGGUAAUCAAGUUUUAUUUCAUUUUAUUUUAACUGCUUAGGGGUUGUGUAUUCUAUUUCUAUUUUUUUAAUCUUUUUUUUUAAAGAUUUUAUUUAUUUAUUCAUUAUUCAUUCAUGAUAGAGAGAGGCGGAGACACAGGCAGAGGGAGAAGCAGGCUCCAUGCUGGGAGCCUGACGUGGGAUUCAAUCCCAGGACUCCAGGAUCGCACCCUGGGCCAAAGGCAGGCGCUAAACCGCUGAGCCACCCACGGAUCCCCUUCUAUUUCUAUUUUAGUAAUAGCCAGUAACGUUUAUUUUACAGUUUGGUUGGGAUAAAAUUUAUGUCAUACAAUGAACCCAUUGAAAGUGGAUUUUUCAAUCAUAUUUAGCAAAUUUGUACUGUUAUGCAACCAUCACUAUAAUUCAGUUUUAGAACUCUCUCAUCAUCCUCUAAAAUUUCAUGAUGUCAUUUAUAGUCCAUCCCCUCCCCUGCUCAGCUUCAGGCACACAUUGAUAGUUUUGCCUUUUCUGAAAAUGUCAGUAAAUGCAAUCAUAAAAUAUGCAGACUUAUGUGUGGCUUCUUUCACUUAGCAUAAUAAUUUUUUUUAAAGAUUUUAUUUAUUUAUUCAUAGAGACAGAGAGAGGCAGAGACACAGGCAGAGGGAGAAGCAGGCAUCAUACAGAGAGCCUGACGUGGGACUCGAUCCAGGGUCUCCUGGAUCGUGCCCUGGGCUGCAGGUGGCGCUAAACCGCUGCGCCACCAGGGCUGCCCACUUAGCAUAAUAAUUUGAGGUUUAUCCAUGUUGUUGCCUGUAUCAGUUAUUCAUUCCUGUUUAUUGCUGGGUAAUAUUCAUUGCAUGGAUAUGCCAUUUUUUGCUAAUCCAUUUAUUAAUGAGUUGAUGGACAUUUAGAUUGUUUCUAUUUGUUUUUGUGAGUAAUGUUGCUAUGAAUGUUCACCUAAGGUCUUUGUAUAGACAUAUGUUUUCAGUUCUCUUGGGCAAAUAUCUAGAAGUGGAAUGGCUAGAUCAUUUCAGAGAAGUAUGUGCUACUGCUAUCCACUGCUUGGCAUAAGCCAGAAAAAGUGGAGAGAACUAAACUCUGGCUACAUAUGCUCCAACCAAUAAUCCUGACAGUUCCACUGGGCUUUUUCUCACUCUCCUUGUACAAUCCUUCUGAAGGACCCCUAAAACAACUCCCUUCAACACCUCUAAGGCAACACCCAUAUUUUUAAUAGUCCCCUUCUUCACUUUUGGGUUUGGGUUCUCCCUCAAACUGAGAUCAUCUACUUUUUUACCUUCAGGAAUAUCUCAUAAUUUCUGACCCACAAACAGCAUCUUUAUUUAUUUUCAAUGAUGCUAUGAAUUUAUUUAUAGUGUAACUUGUCCUAAGAUUAGAAGUUCUGACCAUAAGACAGUAGACAACAAUCAAAUCCCAGAGUAAUAUGAUAGACCCACAUACAGGUUUCCAAAGCAAAUGUUUGAGAAUCAGUUAGAAAACUUACAUAUGAUGAGGAUAUAAAAAGGUUAAGAAAGUGGAGGAGGAAGAAAAUUUGUGGAGAGAGAGAGAGAUACUGCAGUAAUAAUUAUUCCACUCCUGUCCUACAACCUUCCUCCUCCUCCCUCCCUCUCAAGCCCAGCCAAAGCAGACUUCAGGAGACCACUGGAGGACUUGAUCUAUGUUCCCUGGAGCUUGGGAAGCACAUUGUUCUGACAUCUGACUGAAGCCUCACGCAUCAAAGGAUGGGAACCUCUGGCAACUGGCCCAGGAAGUCAAGGGCAGAGAUACUGAGUGAUGCUUUGCUUUGAGCAGUGACUGCAUUCCCCUCUGACACAAGCCAAAGGUGUGUGACCAUCAACGAUGAGGUGUAGAGCUUUGGGGAGGAAAAUUGGCCAAGGGUCAUUUAAAAAGUGUUCCAGAGCUUCUGCAAAAGGAAGAAAGCUGUGUGAGUGGACUGAGACUCUAGAAGGGAAGCUGCAGGGGCCACUGAGGAAAAUGAAUUCACCACAGCACGUGCAAUUGGAUAAACACAACCAAAGAACCGAAACCCCCCCCUUAAGAGAGUCAGCUUUCAACACCUCCAAGGCCUAAAAAGCAUGUGGCAUCACUUAAAACAGUUAUCAGUCAAAUGAGAACUUUCUGUGUCCCUUUUUCUUUCUUCUGCCCUUGUGCUCCAACCUGCCAGGGGCUGCAAGCUGUGAGGAGCCCACUGAGGGAAGAGAAACAGAGAGAGAAAGGAAACUAAUACCAUCUCUUCCAGGUGUCAGGAAUCCUGCCUGAAGCUGUCCCUAACUGGAGGAGAGGAGAGGAUUUCAUUCUAAAGCAGUUUUAGGAUUAGGAUUCUUACAAGAAAUUGGUCACACUAAUUUCCAUAUUCAGACUGUGUUUUGUGACUUAAAGGGAACAUAAGAGUAUCUAUUUCCUAAGAGACAUAAGAGACACCGAAAGAGUCAUGGGGGCCUGGGGGAGGUCUCAAGGGGGUAGCAGAACCGCUUCCCUCACUUAAUAAGUUUAGAGGGACAGUAGUCAACCAUAAAAAGUUAGUUCAUCAAUUACAAACCUUAGGUUGGGUUUGUUAAAUUAUAUGAUUACAAUUUCCAUAUCUGUUCUGCUAUUUCUAGGGAUUUAAAGUGGAGGGAGAGGCUGAAGUGUCUUCAUAAUCCAACUGUUUCACCUCUGAAAUAUUUUAUUUUGGUUUCUGAAAAUAACUGCCUAUUGUUUCUUCCUAUGUACUUCUAGCCACCAGUUCAUUAAAUUCCCUCUGUCUCCUCAGCUUGGACUCAUUCCUUUCCUUCCAGCCAAGACACUCUGGUGCAUUAUUUCAAUUUGCUAUUCUAUUUCCAGGAUGCAGCUUGCUUCUACCUCAUCUUUGCAUUGACCCUACUAAUCUGCUUUUUCUACUUCUAGACGUAGGCUGCUGAGCAAUACUGAAGAAAUCAUUUAGCCACACAUCCAGCAAAUUCCUACUCUCCAAACUCAGUUGGACUCCUAGCACUUCUUUGCAAAACAUUUAUAUAUUUUCUUCGGUCAGUUCCCCUUUUCUACCUACUUUAGUAGCUAUUACUUUUUGCCACUCAUUUGCCUGGAUAAAUUCGUAUUUCAUAGAAAGUACUGAAAAAGCUUUGUGAACAAGUUUUCGCCUUCUUCCCACUGGCUGAAUCUAUUUUGUUUACCUGUGUCCUGGGUCAGUGCAUAUCAGUAACCAGAGGAUCUGGUUAAAAUGCAGAUUCUGAUUCAGCAGCUCUGGGUGUGGCCUGAGAUUGUAUAUUUCUUUUUUUCUUUUAUUUAAAUUUGAUUUGCCAACAUCUAGUAUAACACCCAGUGCUCAUCCCAUCAAGUGCCAUCCUUAAUGCCCGUCACCCACUUACCUAUCCCCUCUGCCACUUUCCUUUCUGCAACCCUUUGCUUCUUUCCCAGGGUUAGGAGUCUCUGAUGGUUUGUCUUCCUCCCUAAUUUUUCCCUACUCAGUUCCCCCCCCUUUUCCCUAUAGUUCCUUUCUCUAUUUCUUAUAUUCCACAUAUGAAACUAUAUAAUAGUCUUUCUCUGAUUGACUUAUUUCACUCAGCAUAAUACCCUCCAGUUUCAUUCACAUUGAUGUAAAUGGCAGGUAUUCAUCCUUUUUGAUGGCUGAGUAAUAGGAGAUUGUGUAUUUAUAACAACCUUUCAGGUGAUGCUGAUGUUGCUAGUCCACAGACCACAUUUUAGGUAGCAAAGCUGUUGUUUGAUAUCCUCUCAUCUCCUUUUGCUCUACCAAUUUUUUUUUUUUGCUUUAUUUUCACACUCUCCCUAUUGGCUUUUCAGCAUAUAAAAUGCUUGAAUUUCUCUGAUCUUAAAAAUAUGUACGUUUCCAAAAUCUUUUCUUCUUAAGGCAUCACCUUAUCUCAUACCUUACGUUCUAUGUGUUAUCUAUUGCCGCAUAACAAAUUAUCCUAAAGCUUAGCAGCUGAAAAUAACAAUUUCUGGGGACUCAAAAACCCAGGCAUGGCUUAGCUAAGUCCUCUGGCUGCAAUCAAGUUGUUAUCUGGGGUUACAGUCACCUCUAAGUUUGUCUAGGGGAAGAUCCAUUUCUAAGCUCAUUUAUCUAAUGGUGGGAUUAGUUCCUUGCACAUUGUUGGACUGAGGGCCUCAGUUCCCUAUUGACUACUGACUAGAAGCCACCAUCCGUGGUUUGUAUUGAUUUCUCAAUAGAGCAUCUCACAACAUGGCAGCUAGCUUCCAUCAGAGUUCGCAGAGAGUGCAAGAAAGGGCAAGCAAGACAGAGCCCAGUCUAUUUGUAAUCUAAUCUGGGAAGUGGCGUUUCUAUCACUUUUGCUGUAUUCUAUUUAUUGGAAGCAAGUCACUAAGUCCAGCUCACACUCGAGAAGGGGACUGCACAAAGGCAUGGAUACCCAGCUUUUAGAAGCUGUGAUACAUUCAUAGCCAAGCCUCUUGGUAAAGUCUACACUUGCUUUCCCCAUUCUGUCAACUUUCAUUCACCUUUUCAACCUUUAGGUUUUGGUUCUCACUUUCAUUACUUACUAAAGAUGCCAUAAUUGUCAAAUCCAGAAAUCAUAUCUCAGUACUCCCCUUUCCUGACCUCUUACUUAGCUUUCAUAACAUCAAUCUCUCUUGAUUUUAUCCCUAUACCUUGAACCAAAGCCUCAAUACCCUUUCUAGCUCUUCUUCAUCCAUGUAUAUUUUAAAUGUAGAUGUUUCAUUAAGUCCCUGUUUUCUUCCUGCUUUGCGUACAGUACUCUCAUCUUCGCCUACAGCUUCUGUUAACCUUAAAAAUAAAACUGUUAGUUAUUUUACCAGCAAAAAUGAGUUUAGUUGAGAAAUGACAAUGUAAGAAAAGCAAUUCAUGGCAAAAGCCAUAGGUAAUUAGGAGAACAAAGACAAGAAAUGCUCUUCUGUAGAGGAAAGGCAGGAGUAGGGAGGGCUGUUAUAAACUAAAAGCCCAUUGGAGUAAACUGGAAGCUCAAAGUAUAGUGUCUUUUCCUUGUCUGAGUUGUGACAGCCGCUCAUUGGCUGGGCUGUUGCACGUGUGAGUCCUGCUGGGGUAUUAAAGUAGUAGUUAACAUAGUAUCCCAUUUGCAAGGUAUAGCUCUUCCUUUUGGGGUCUGCAAUUGAUGAUAUACGUAUAACAAUUUAAAAAUUAAAACGUAUACGUUGACGCUCUGCAUAUAUUUUCCAUAGAGGGGAACAAGCCUAUUAGCAAAUCAGUAAUCCAGUAUUUAAAUCUGAACAAAUUACAAGUGGCUCUCUUAUUCAAUCUGAUUUAUUGCACUUGCCCCCCACUCCUUUCCUGCCCUGCUUUUCUCCUAUUGUAAUCUCAAAGAAAAUUGUAGGUAUAGUGCAAUGUGUAUGACCAGAAAAGAGAAGUAUAGAAAAAUCUUAAUGCUUUUCAUUUGCUACGUCAUGAUUUUUAGUGAAGAGGUCACAUGAAAUCAGCCUAUCCACUGGCAUACUUUAUCCUUCCCAUCCCCGUAUAAGGUAACUUAAGUGGGAAUGUUAAUGCUUUGAUGCUUUUAGAAAGGGCUUGUCAUAAACUGUUUGACCCCUUGCUUAAAACAAAACCAAAAAUUAAAUCCACUGGACAACACCAUCUGCAAAUGAGCUAAUUAGCACUGGCAAAAUAGGGCAAAUAUUUAGUCAUUAGGAGACAUCUUAAAUGACAAUACUCUUAAGAGCUGUCCAUUAGAACAGAUAUAUGUGAAGAUACACAUGAGAAAGGUAAGUAAGCAAAUACGGAUAAUCCAUUAGAAAUUCUUAAUUAGAAUUAGCUGUGAGAGCCUGGUGUGGAGGAAUGCAACAGAAGAAGCUUCCAUUUGAAUUGUUUGUUUAUCCUACUUAUCUGAAGUCAGAGCCAAUAAUCCCAAUGAUCCUAAGAAUGGUGAUAAAUGUUUUUCCACAUGUAGAAAGAGCCAAUUGGCAGAACCUUUACAAAUAGGCCAAUUCCUGCUCUUAGUAACAUGAUAUAAAUUAGGCUCUGCUGAGUUAUUGCUGGUGGGUCAUGUGCCUUGACUUGUUUCUUAUUAGCAGAGAUAGAUUUACACCCAUUCUCAUGCUUUCUGGCUCAGGGCCUUUUGCAACCACCUGCAAGCGUUUAAGAGACAAAAGGGUGAUAUUAAUAUUUGGGGAACAAAACCAAGCUACCUGACCCAUGGGAGUAUGACCUUUGCAUCUGUCAAAUGCCAGAUUGUCAAAACCAAUGGGGGAACAUCUAUAAGGCUUUGUGUUCCAAAAGAGAGUGUCACAGCACAUCUUUGCUGGAUUCCACAGAAACUAUAUUUUUCCCCUCUCCCUUGAUUUUGUUCUUUUAGUCCAAGCAGAUCUAAGUCCUAAGUGUCUUUUAGGUCUCUGCUAGUAUUUUUUUUUAAGAUUUAUUUAUUUAUUUAUUUAUUUAUUUAUUUAUUUAUUUAUUUAUUUAUUUAUUUAUUCAUGAUAGACACAGAGAGAGAGAGAGAGAGAGAGGCAGAGACACAGGCAGAGGGAGAGAAGCAAAGGGAGAAGCAGGCUCCCGACGCGGGACUCCAGGAUCACGCCCCGGGCCAAAGGCAGGCGCCAAACCACUGAGCCACCCAGGGAUCCCCUCUCUGCUAGUAUUUAUUAUGUCAUUUAGACAACUCAGUUUCUGUCCUUGACCGAUACCUGAUUCUGUUUUUGCUUUCUUUUACUAAGUCUCUUUGACCUACUUGCGUCCUCCUCUGUAUCUGGUUUAAACUUUUGGCUGCUUUUGUUUUAGCUCUCCUCUACAGUCUGUAGAGACUUCGAUCCAUCAUGCAACACAAGAUAUAAAGAGCUACAUUAGAACAUUGGAUACUGGCUUAUCAGAUCCUGUGACCUCCCACCUUCUAAAAUGAUUUUAUCUGUAUGCUUUUUAGUUGAAACUGGCUGACAGCUUUGGAUUAUGACCUAUAAAUAAAAAUUUUGUAAAUUGGAUGAAUAGAAAGUAACAUUUUUCCACUCAGCUCCCAUCUUUUGUAUUUAUAACAUGAAUGCUGAGUGUCCAUGGGAGGAAGGGCUUCAUUUACCUUUAGAAAUAAUUUAAUUAUUAUUCUCCUAAAUGGACACAGAAUGAUAGCCCUACUAAUUAAUAGAUAGAAAUCUAAGAAAGAAAAACCCAAUAUUUUUACCUUGACUAGUUAACACUAUAUGUUAAUCUAAGUCAUUUUUAUAAUUUUCAGACUGAGUCUCAGCUAAGAGGUAAGACUAUUCAUAUUAUACACCCCUACAAGGAGGCUUACACCCCUACAAGUUGCCAUUUCAAAUAUUUUUACUCUUCCAUUACUACUAAUAUUCAGAAUAUAGAAUUUUCAACUCUUAUGGAUUAUUUCUUUUCAGAAGCAAUGUGUUUGUUGUGUGGAUUAAAUAAUUUGGAACAGAGCCUAACACAUAGAAUAGAUAUUUGCUAGUAUAACUUUUUAAAAUUAUAGUAACAGAUUAGUAUCAAGAUCAUGCUGGAUGGUAUUUAGCCAGGGAUAUCUGAAUAUGGUCUUGGACCCGUUACUCUUCUCUCUGUAAUAGUGUUGAAGAAGUUAUCUGCAUAAUGGGGGCUAAACAAGACAAAGUAAUAUUUCAUUGUUAGCUAGAUCUUUGGUUUCAAACCCUAACAUAAUCAGAAGAACGGUAAAAUUCCACUCCUUUAGGCUAGAGGCCACAAAACCCAAUGGCCAAAGCAAGCCAAAUGACAAACCUUUUCUCUCCUUUCUACCUCAUACCUUUAAUCACACUCUAGCUUUGAAAUUUGCCAUUCCAGUGAUAUAAAAAUGAUGCCUGCCAGAGCUAGAAAAUAAGAGACAAAUAGUAAGAGGGGGAAAAAAUUGUUCCUUUAACAUAGAGCUAUAUACCCCAGACUUUCUCGUGCCAGGACAAUACACUGAACUUGAGUCAUCUGGGAAAAGAGAAACAAAUGGAGAACAGAGGAAGGGAAGAUGGUUUAGAUUUCUAUCGAGUUUGAACCCUGACUUCCAUAACCUCAUUGGAUACAAACUGAAAAGAUGAAAAGAGCUUGUACAGUUUUGAAGCUGUGGCACUAAUCUUCGCUCAUAUUGCCAUCCUCGUCUGGCUGGGCAUUUGAUUACAGCUAGAAACCAAACCACUAGCCAUGGCCACUGCAAUGUUUCUUAAACCAAACCAAACCAAACCAUAGACAUUCCCCUUAUGGACUGGACUGGGUCCGAGGACAAAAGACUGAAACAAAGAGUACUACCUUUGCCUUUGGGCACCAGCUAUCUUCUAGGAUUGCGAAGAUGAUUAGCAAUAAGAUACGUAAUGUACAUAGCUCAUAGUAGGCCCUCCAAUUGUAGUUACUUUUCUUCAUUUUGCUGUUAUUAUUACUAAAGAAAAUCCUCUAUGCUAGAUAUAGAAAUACAGAAAACUGAAUAGUGCAAAUUACAUAGUGCUUGAUAUCAUAAUUACAUCUCCCAGAACUGUAGCAGAAGUGAUUGACCAUUUAGGACUUAAAAAUCUUAAGAGUCGCUUUGUUUUCAGUAUUCUCUGUAAUUUGGUGGCUACAAGUGGUCAAAUACAGUACUUGGGUAUAGAUUUAAGAAACUUAAAAUGAGUACAGAAUUUGACAACUAUGUUCCAUCUAGAUUUAAAUUAUAUUUAGAGUUUGGCUGGGAUGUUAGCCAAAAGAGAUUUGUUAUAGAUUCACAGGAUAAAAUUAUGGCAUGAAUCAUCAUCUCUCUAGCUUAUUCAAGUAAAGAUUUUUUUUCAGAAGAUAUUUUAGAGACAGAUGCAGUUCAUGAUUUGAUGUAUAUGUGUUUCUGAAAUUUGAUUCUUUAAUUUCAAAGAAUACAACAAACAAGGGCAUACAUCAUCUAAAGCUACAUGUUUGGGUUUAUCAGAUAAACCUAAGUGAAAGAAUGUAAGAACAUGUGUUUUUUUAUUUAUCUCCUAUUUAAAAGGAAGAGUUCUAUAUAAAAAGAGACUUGUUAUUUUCAAGGCCAACUAUUAUUUAGAAAACAUAGAACAUAGAGUUACAGAUAUCUUUGUGAGUAAGGAUUUUUAAAAGCAGUUAUCAUAGUUUUUGACAGUAUUAAGACCAACGCAGAAUGUUGGAAGAGUCCAUACUGAGAUCAUCACCUAAUACUGUAGUGAUAAAACAUUCAAGUCCAACUUCAGAAUUCCUGACAUUUGUUAUGGAGAUAAAAAUGUGAAUUUUAAAAAACUAGUCCAAUAAGAUUGUAUCAGGGUAACUGGUAUUAUUUUCAUUUGCACUGGUUGGCUAAGCUUUCACAGUAAUCCAAUUUUUUUUUACAGUAAUCCAAUUUAAUCUUUAAUCCUUAACAUUAUCCUGACCUCUAGGUAAUAGCAUCUGGAAUUCUACUAAAAUUGAUUGUAGUGCCCUUAAUAGUUAUUUUUUAGAAAGAUAUUAGAAAAAAAGAAUAGAAAAUGAUAAAGAUAAAAGAG